RNAcentral lists this ribosomal RNA (253 nucleotides) under uncultured bacterium. Its description in RNAcentral is "partial 16S ribosomal RNA". It matches the Rfam family "Bacterial small subunit ribosomal RNA", at positions 524 to 776 of the family's 1533-position model. The record is from RNAcentral.
UACGGAGGGGGCUAGCGUUAUUCGGAAUUAUUGGGCGUAAAGGGCGCGUAGGCGGCUCGACGUGUCCAAGGUGAAAUCCCUCGGCUCAACUGAGGAACUGCCUUGGAAACUGUCGAGCUUGAGGCCGGGAGGGGGUAGCGGAAUUCCCAGUGUAGCGGUGAAAUGCGUAGAUAUUGGGAGGAACACCAGUGGCGAAGGCGGCUACCUGGACCGGUUCUGACGCUGAUGCGCGAAAGCGUGGGUAGCAAACAGG